RNAcentral lists this ribosomal RNA (508 nucleotides) under uncultured bacterium. Its description in RNAcentral is "partial 16S ribosomal RNA". It matches the Rfam family "Bacterial small subunit ribosomal RNA", at positions 28 to 523 of the family's 1533-position model. The record is from RNAcentral.
GAUGAACGCUAGCUACAGGCUUAACACAUGCAAGUCGAGGGGCAGCGGUAUCGAAAGCUUGCUUUCGGUAGCCGGCGACCGGCGCACGGGUGAGUAACGCGUAUCGAACCUGCCUCAUACUCGGGAAUAGCCUUGCGAAAGUAAGAUUAAUGCCCGGUGGUUUCAGAGUACCGCAUGAGGCUUUGAACAAAGAUUUAUCGGUAUGAGAUGGCGAUGCGUCCCAUUAGCUUGUUGGCGGGGUAACGGACCACCAAGGCAUCGAUGGGUAGGGGUUCUGAGAGGAAGGUCCCCCACAUUGGAACUGAGACACGGUCCAAACUCCUACGGGAGGCAGCAGUGAGGAAUAUUGGUCAAUGGGCGGAAGCCUGAACCAGCCAAGUAGCGUGCAGGAAGACGGCCCUCCGGGUUGUAAACUGCUUUUAGUUGGGAAUAAAACGGGGCUCGUGAGCCCCCUUGCAUGUACCAUCAGAAAAAGGACCGGCUAAUUCCGUGCCAGCCGCCGCCGUAA